GUGAAUUAAACACGCUUGGUGUCCUUCGCUUCGGCAAGGCCCUUGCUUAAAUCACAUCCUAACACCUGUGAACUGUAAGACGUAUGAUGAGGUCUUUGGCCAAGUCAUCGUCUGCCCAUUUUUAACAAACAAUUAAUGUAACAAACGUAGUCUUAUUAUAACCUAAUA
RNAcentral lists this unclassified non-coding RNA (168 nucleotides) under soil metagenome. Its description in RNAcentral is "partial internal transcribed spacer 1". The record is from RNAcentral.